CUUGAUUUGAAUUGUUGACUUGUGUGUUGAUUCGGUCAGCUUCUUGGGUGCUUUUCAAUAGCUUAAUAAAGGUUGUGAAUUGACCGGCCUUUUUAAGGAUCGUUGUGAUAUUGGUUGGACCUGAUGGGGCUGGUAUGGGAGUUUGAGCAGAAGAAGUUGAGCAAUAGAGGAAGAAGAGCAUCAAGAAAAGAAGAAUUGGGAAGGAAAGUUGCUUUCUCAUCGUUGUAGGUAUUGGAUGUGGUCUAAGUUUCUGUUAAGUUAGCCAAGUAGUGAUGAGGAAGAGUGUGAGGUGUGGAGAGAGAGAGGGAGGGGGGCAUAUAUUGAGAGAGAAGGGGGAAGAAG
RNAcentral lists this unclassified non-coding RNA (342 nucleotides) under Hevea brasiliensis (rubber tree). The record is from RNAcentral. Lineage: Eukaryota; Viridiplantae; Streptophyta; Magnoliopsida; Malpighiales; Euphorbiaceae.